Parasteatoda tepidariorum (common house spider) is the source of this 300-nucleotide non-coding RNA. NCBI's taxonomy places the organism in Eukaryota, Metazoa, Arthropoda, Arachnida, Araneae, Theridiidae. The record is from RefSeq and is a predicted model, not a curated record.
AGUGUGACUGUGGAGAUGGGGAUUGUGUACUUGGUGCUGAUGGUAAAACUAAGCCUUGUAAUUGCGAAGAGAAUAAGAAGUUGAAGGAAUACAAUGGGAUCUGCAAAAAGUGUGACUGUGGAGAUGGGGAUUGUGUACUUGGUGCUGAUGGUAAACCUAAGUCUUGUAAUUGCGAAGAGAAUAAGAAGUUGAGGGAAUAUAAUGGGAUCUGCAAAAAGUGUGACUGUGGAGAUGGGGAUUGUGUACUUGGUGCUGAUGGAAAACCUAAGCCUUGUAAUUGCGAAGAGAAUAAGAAGUUGA